UGAUGGUUGCUCAAUCCAAGUUCAUAAAUGACAGGAACUGUGACCCUGAAGAGAAUUACCAGCAAAUCCACUGAAAGUGUGCCUUCUGCUCCCUUGCUUCCUGUCCAACAGGAGCUUGGCGUCUUGGCGAAAAUAGAACAUGCGAAUGAGGCCCGACAUGCAGCCUAUAUUGUUCUCCUGACGUCGCAUAGCAAGUGUGGUCCCUGAGCGAUUUGCAGUUAGAUCAACAAUAAAAGCUCAUGCAGUGACACAUGCCAAAUUUCUAUUGCAAAAGGGGAGGGGGGUGGGGAGCGCUUGCCAAGCCUGGAGAACAGAAGAACUGAUAUUUUUGCACAAAUAAUACAAGGUAAUUGUGAGCAAAUACCAGAGCAAACCGGCCACUCUUAUCUAUUUUAAUGGAACUGUUGAAGAAAGCAAGGAUAUGAAAAGAAAUAUGCUAGAAACUCCUCCAAUAUUGACUUCGAAGUGAGUGAAAGAUCCAGCAAAACCAUUUUCACAUUGUGUUUAAGAGACAUCUGCCAAAAUUGUCAGGGCCUUAUAUUACAUUUUACUUUCUCUAUUACUCGAAUUAGUAAGCAUCAUAGCACUAGAUUAUAUGAUCUCAACAUGUAGGUAACGACCAUGCAUACAAAUGUUUCCCUUAAACAAACAAAUUCGACUACAAGUAACUCUAGAAAGUGCAAAUCAAGAAGGAAAGCCAGCAACUAAGAGUAAUACUAUUUCAUUUAAAACUCACUUACCUGAUA
This is a long non-coding RNA of Phragmites australis (common reed), 746 nucleotides long. RefSeq lists it as uncharacterized. NCBI's taxonomy places the organism in Eukaryota, Viridiplantae, Streptophyta, Magnoliopsida, Poales, Poaceae. The transcript is spliced from 3 exons. The record is from RefSeq and is a predicted model, not a curated record.